GGGACUUUAGUAAAAAUUAUACGUUCUUGUCAUGAACGAGUUAAAGACUUAAACCCUUUAAGCCCCG
Molecule: transfer RNA, 67 nt
Filed under: Sphenodon punctatus (tuatara)
Lineage: Eukaryota; Metazoa; Chordata; Lepidosauria; Sphenodontia; Sphenodontidae
Description: tRNA-Asp
Source: RNAcentral